This 1464-nucleotide ribosomal RNA is filed under the name Triticum aestivum (bread wheat). RNAcentral's name for it is "partial small subunit ribosomal RNA". The record is from RNAcentral. Lineage: Eukaryota; Viridiplantae; Streptophyta; Magnoliopsida; Poales; Poaceae.
AUGGCGUGGAUGUUCCCGUGCGCCGUGUGGGCGACGAUGGCGUCGGCCGUGGCGACGGCAGCGACCACGGACGGCGCUUCGAGCGUUGAGCAGGGCAGCUCCUCGUCGCCGGCGUUCGGCCCUGGCGACGCUAAGGUGGCUUCCGACCCGGGCUCCUCCCCGGCGUUGAGGUCGUCCACCUCCUCCUCCUUGCUCGGCGCCCGAAGCAGCUCGUCGAACAGCGCGCGCUCACCGGUGAGGGAGGGCGGUGACACGGCCGCACGGAAGGGCGACGCGCUAAGGCGGUGCCUGCACAGGUUCGCCAGAAAUCUGCAGCGCGCCGGUGCUGCGGACGAGCGGUCAGACGGGCGCGGGAGACGGAAGGGCCGGGCCACGAAGCCGGACGGGAGGGUCGCCGCCGGCGAGGACGGCACCGCCCGGGCGAGGGAGGAGGCCGUCGCGAGCGCGAUCGCCUACUGCAAGGAGUCGAGCCGGCAGCGCUGCAGGACGCCGUUGGCUCCCUCGCCCAGCUUGGACGGCUGGCUCCUCGUUCGUCCGGAGGAGGAGAUCGGCACCAGCGCCACGAGCGCCGUCUCGCCCUGCGAAUGCGAGGCGCAGGGCACCUCGAGCGCCGCCGCCCCCCACCACGGCCACGCGGCCUGCGACGCAGAAUGCGGCGGCGGCAGGCCGUCGACGGUGGAAACUCGGCGAGGUCCAGCCGGGGAGAUGGAAAAGGGUGACGCUGUCGACGGGCUUGACGGGGACGUCCUUAGGAUAACGAGUUACUUCGCCGCCAAAUAUGUGCGCGCGAAAAACUUGACAAGAAAAGAGAAAUCCUAUUUCCUGCUCCACCCACCCCACCGCAUCUAUCCAUCUAACAGAAAUAGGCGAAAAGGAGAGGGCGCGCUAGUAAACAAAAAGCGCAGCGGCAACAGCUGUGGCACAGGCAGCAGCGUCAGCCUCAGCCAUAUCAGUCAGUCCAACCCCCGACGCGUCUUCAGUCUUCGCCCCCAGCAAGCCAAAGCCUCCGCCUUUCUCCUCCUUUUCCGCCCAAACAAACCGCCCCCUCCCCUCCCGUCGCCCUCACCUCCGCCCUCGCCGGCAGUAGUAUACGCCCGCCACCAGCUCCGACGACCCGCGCCUUCCCUCACUCCCGCCGUCGCCGCCUCCCGCGCCCGGUCCCCCGUCCUCCCCUCCGCCGCGGGGAUUCUCGUGAUCCCGGUCGCUUAUCCCGCCGCGGCGCGGCGACCGGCGUUUCUGGGCGGAGUUCUGGUUGCGCAGCAGGGGAAGGGGGCGCAGUUCAAUGAUAAAGGAGAUAUCUCCGCCAAAAAAAAGAAGAUAAAGGAGAAGGCAGUGCUUGUGCUUGUGAGCAACUGGAGGAAGCGUAUGUUGGCUUAUGGCAUACGCGGUCUAGCUUUAAUGAGAGGAAGAUAUCCAGCUGGUUGUAUUGUGUAUGCAUACUUAUUUCUUGCUCCCGAUAUCUAA